UGGUGGAGUGAUUUGUCUGGUUAAUUCCGAUAACGAACGAGACCUCUGUGGGUGACUAGGGGCGCGUACGUGAGUAUGCGGCUCCUUCUCACUCAGACUGGCUGUGUUUAGCAGCCGGAAGUGGGAGGCAAUAACA
Molecule: ribosomal RNA, 136 nt
Filed under: uncultured eukaryote
Lineage: Eukaryota
Description: partial 18S ribosomal RNA
Rfam family: Eukaryotic small subunit ribosomal RNA
Source: RNAcentral